This 31-nucleotide non-coding RNA is filed under the name Mus musculus (house mouse). Lineage: Eukaryota; Metazoa; Chordata; Mammalia; Rodentia; Muridae. The record is from RNAcentral.
UACAAAUGUCAUACGAUCCAAGAUGGAAUGU